This 69-nucleotide transfer RNA is filed under the name Camelus bactrianus (Bactrian camel). It matches the Rfam family "tRNA". From Rfam's summary of the family: Transfer RNA (tRNA) molecules are approximately 80 nucleotides in length. Their secondary structure includes four short double-helical elements and three loops (D, anti-codon, and T loops). The record is from Rfam by way of RNAcentral. Lineage: Eukaryota; Metazoa; Chordata; Mammalia; Artiodactyla; Camelidae. RNAcentral also lists the same sequence under 2 other names.
GGUGUGGCUCAGUGGUAGAGCAUGUGCUUAGCACGCGCAAGGUCCUGGGUUCAAUCCCCAGGACCACCA